Molecule: ribosomal RNA, 253 nt
Filed under: uncultured bacterium
Lineage: Bacteria
Description: partial 16S ribosomal RNA
Rfam family: Bacterial small subunit ribosomal RNA
Source: RNAcentral
UACAGAGGUCUCGAGCGUUGUUCGGAUUCAUUGGGCGUAAAGGGUGCGUAGGCGGCGAGGUAAGUCGGAUGUGAAAUCCCGGGGCUCAACCCCGGAACUGCAUUCGAUACUGCCCCGCUUGAGGACUGGAGAGGAGACUGGAAUUCACGGUGUAGCAGUGAUAUGCGUAGAUAUCGUGAGGAAGACCGGUGGCGAAGGCGGGUCUCUGGACAGUUCCUGACGCUGAGGCACGAAAGCGUGGGGAGCAAACAGG